AAUAAGAAGUCAUUCUCCCUCUGUUUUUCUGUCUUUUUCAUUCACGUAUAUACGUACGUUUUGAUUUUUCGUAUUAAGCUCGGGCAAUACCAUAAUAAAUGUCAACGUUCGUUCUCGUGUAUAGUAUUGCGCAUUCACCCGAGUCUAAGGAGCAAGAAACUCGCUAAGAAUAGAUUUGCGAACGAGUUCAAAGAAGGCCGCCUCCUUCGAAGAGAUUCCCUUCCAAGUGCAAACUAGAAGGAAUUCGAAACUUUCUAUUUUUACGAUCGAUCUUUCUCCUAUCUUCCUAAGACAACGCAACGAAUCCAAUCGAUGACAUCGCCCGUUACACGUACUUGAAAUGAAAAUUCAAAAUUCGUCCGAUGACGCGCGUGCAAUUGGUAGUCACGUCCUCUAUCGACCGUAGAGGCGCACCAAUCAAAAAUGGCGGGAAGGGGUGAAAAAUAGCAUGGCAGCCUAUCCAAAAUCUACCAAAAUCUUUACAGAACGGAUCGAUAAAGGAGAGAAUAAGCAAAUUUAUAAAGGCGCUAUGCCCUUAGUACGUUCAGUGUUAAAAUCGCACUCAAAUAAUAACACUCACUCCUCCAAGAUCCUUGAUUUUUGCCUCUAGCUUGGCCGAAGUGGCAUGAUUCUUUAUAUCCAAAUAAAAUGACUUCUUUGCCAAAGGUUUCAGGCCCUUCUGUAUGCGAACAUCUAGAAAUAAAUAAACCUAUUUCAAUGUC
Vespula pensylvanica (western yellowjacket) is the source of this 722-nucleotide long non-coding RNA. RefSeq lists it as uncharacterized. Lineage: Eukaryota; Metazoa; Arthropoda; Insecta; Hymenoptera; Vespidae. The transcript has 2 exons. The record is from RefSeq and is a predicted model, not a curated record.